RNAcentral lists this ribosomal RNA (479 nucleotides) under Haemophilus haemolyticus. Its description in RNAcentral is "bacterial SSU rRNA". It matches the Rfam family "Bacterial small subunit ribosomal RNA", at positions 1 to 469 of the family's 1533-position model. Lineage: Bacteria; Pseudomonadati; Pseudomonadota; Gammaproteobacteria; Pasteurellales; Pasteurellaceae. The record is from RNAcentral.
ACUUGAAUUGAAGAGUUUGAUCAUGGCUCAGAUUGAACGCUGGCGGCAGGCUUAACACAUGCAAGUCGAACGGUAGCAGGAGAAAGCUUGCUUUCUUGCUGACGAGUGGCGGACGGGUGAGUAAUGCUUGGGAAUCUGGCUUAUGGAGGGGGAUAACUACGGGAAACUGUAGCUAAUACCGCGUAGUAUCGGAAGAUGAAAGUGCGGGACCGUAAGGCCGCAUGCCAUGGGAUGAGCCCAAGUGGGAUUAGGUAGUUGGUGGGGUAAAGGCCUACCAAGCCUGCGAUCUCUAGCUGGUCUGAGAGGAUGGCCAGCCACACUGGAACUGAGACACGGUCCAGACUCCUACGGGAGGCAGCAGUGGGGAAUAUUGCGCAAUGGGGGGAACCCUGACGCAGCCAUGCCGCGUGAAUGAAGAAGGCCUUCGGGUUGUAAAGUUCUUUCGGUAUUGAGGAAGGUUGAUGUGUUAAUAGUACAUC